Molecule: ribosomal RNA, 433 nt
Filed under: uncultured bacterium
Lineage: Bacteria
Description: partial 16S ribosomal RNA
Rfam family: Bacterial small subunit ribosomal RNA
Source: RNAcentral
AACGAACGCUGGCGGCAUGCCUAACACAUGCAAGUCGAACGAGACCUUCGGGUCUAGUGGCGCACGGGUGCGUAACGCGUGGGAAUCUACCCUCAGGUUCGGAAUAACUCAGAGAAAUUUGAGCUAAUACCGGAUGAUGACGUAAGUCCAAAGAUUUAUCGCCUGAGGAUGAGCCCGCUUAGGAUUAGGUAGUUGGUGAGGUAAAGGCUCACCAAGCCGACGAUCCUUAGCUGGUCUGAGAGGAUGAUCAGCCACACUGGGACUGAGACACGGCCCAGACUCCUACGGGAGGCAGCAGUGGGGAAUAUUGGACAAUGGGCGAAAGCAUGAUCCAGCAAUGCCGCGUGAGUGAUGAAGGCCUUAGGGUUGUAAAGCGCUUUUACCCGGGAUGAUAAUGACAGUACCGGGAGAAUAAGCUCCGGCUAACUCCGUG